AGAUUCCGGUGAGGCAUCCUGUAAUGCAGAAGAGUCUUGCACACAGAGGGAUUUAAACUGGCUGUGGGUUGCUGUUUACCCUUGAUUAUAGUCAGAUUUGCUGGAGCAUCCUGGCCGUGGAGGAGCUGGCAUCGGGUCUAGGUGGUGAAUGGAGGGCACCUUCCUCUAAAGCAGCUCUGAGGAAAAUCUCAACUACCUCCUGGGAGCCAGGGUCUCAGAGCCUGCUGGCUGUGGGUCCCUCCGAUCUGAACACAAAACCUCCGAGGCAAAGUUAGCAGAGAGAUGAUUGAAAUAACGCUCUCUUGUUCUUGCUGCGAGUGUACCCUCCUCCUUUCGAGGAGUUGGGAGAAGGGCUGGCAACUAGAAGAGUCAUUGGCUUCAGUUUUAACUCCUUGAAGUCCAUCGCUCUCGGCAGUUGUUUUCACUUCUUCAUUGAAACAUAACGUUUAGUAUACGUAGCAAAUUAGAAACACUUGCUUUUGCUCUGUAAAAGAAGAGUGUACAGGAAUCUUAUGAAAGUUGUUUGGGAAAAAAAUAUGAUUCCAGUGCACACAGUUCCUCCAGAGAAUGGUUCUAUAUGAACAGAAUUUUACUCCUAAUUAAACACAGAGCAUUUUUAUCUUAUUUCUUAGCAUAAAUGUAGCCAUGCAUGAGACCUCAGUAGGAUUUCAUCUUUGCUCAGGGAAGCAAUUAGAUUUAGCUCUCGUUUGUUUUCUGUGAAUGAUAGGAAAGACAAGUCGGUGGUACUAAAGUAUCUCUAACACUUCUUUGCUUAGAAACGUAUUUUGUUUUCAUUAUAAACACUACGGAUUGAAUGUAACGCACCCAUGAAUCUCUGCACCAACCCACCCCCCAGUAAUCCUCCUCCUCUUGAGCCGAUUGUGAAAAUGAGUAUAGAAAUUAGCAUUUUCAAACUUCUGUUGACUUUUAUCCCCAGAAUUAAUUUGCUCCAGGUUGGUAGCUUCCAAACUGUUUGUUUUAACAGUGAAUGCUUCCAUCAAACAAAAUGUUAAGUGGAAUUUUAAUGCAGAAAAAAAGAGAUGAAGGCAGAGACACUGCGGGCAUAGCUGGGGAAGCACUCCGUCAGCCUCCUUCUCUGCCCCACCAGCGACGUCGGGGGCGGGGGGGGGGUGCCCUGCGAUGGAACACCCUCUGCACUUAGAGCAGGCACUUCACCCAGUUGCUUCCGUGAUCUGCGAUGAGAGUGUUGUUGGCGUUGGGCCUUCCUUCCCCUCCUUGAUGAGCUCUUCUGAAUGGGGCACUCAUGGUGACGGCUCUUUCCCUGUCACUGCCUUUGGGUUGUUCUUCUCAGUUAAGCUACAGUUAGUCACAAACGUAAAAGCAUACCACCUGAGCCAACCAGUGAUUUUUGUCUGUCCUGAAAUUGGACUUUUGCAUUCGACUCAUCUUUUGCGUUCGGCUCCAAUGACGCAUUGUCACUGCUUUUUAUUCUGUGCCAGGAAGUUUUUCUCCUGGUGGAUUUACCUUUAAGUCUGUAACUAUGGUGCUCGCACCAUGGUAGAUGCUCACGUUUCCUUACCUUAUAGGAAUGAGCUUUUUCCUCUUAUACCCCGUUCUCAGUAAUGGUGUUCCUGCUUGUUUUCUUUCCACCACUGGAUAAUAAAAUGUAAUAGCAUUAUUUCACAGU
Molecule: long non-coding RNA, 1648 nt
Filed under: Sus scrofa (pig)
Lineage: Eukaryota; Metazoa; Chordata; Mammalia; Artiodactyla; Suidae
Description: lncRNA (ENSSSCG00000055638.1)
Source: RNAcentral